AUGGCCUUUGCCGCCGCCGUCUCUCUCCUGCCUCGUCGGACCUGCUCCGUCCUCCGCCUUCUCCCUCCUCGCAGGUCCUCCGCUGCUGCAGCACCUUCACCGUCUCGCCAGCCGUCGGCCUCAAGCAUGUCCCCACGCUCGCCGCCAGCGAAGGCCGUGGCCAGGGAGCCGCUUGAACUCUGUUGUUGCACCUCCGCUCAUCCCUGUCGUUCGUCAGCCUCCCCUAGCUGCUUCCCCUCAAUCCCGCCGCCUCCUUGCUCGGGAGAGCAAAGGCUCGAUCCCGAGCAGCACCAGCGCCUGCAUCCCCAUCGCGCUCGAGGACAAGCCCCUCGGGCAGGAGGGCUUCUCCUGCCCGAACCCUCAAGGAGAGCUGUUGCCGUGCGCACCUCCUCCCGUCCCCAAUGCCCGUCACUGCCCCGCACCUCACCCCGUGUCCAAGCCGUGUUGUCGCCGUUGCUGCACCUCCAGCCUCCUGUCUUGCUUCUUUUUGGACCAGCAAGAACGUCGCCAAGAACUGUACGCGGACGCAUCGUCGCCAGGAUUUUCGCCAAGUACCUCUAUGUGCGGACUCGCCAAGUACACGACUCGGAUGCGCCAAGUUUGACUAUGAACGGACAAGACCAAGUGUACGACUAUGCCCAGCGAUGCAACUGA
This 654-nucleotide ribosomal RNA is filed under the name Triticum aestivum (bread wheat). RNAcentral's name for it is "partial small subunit ribosomal RNA". The record is from RNAcentral. Lineage: Eukaryota; Viridiplantae; Streptophyta; Magnoliopsida; Poales; Poaceae.